Molecule: ribosomal RNA, 373 nt
Filed under: uncultured organism
Description: bacterial SSU rRNA
Rfam family: Bacterial small subunit ribosomal RNA
Source: RNAcentral
CGUAGGGACCAAGCGUUGUUCGGAUUUACUGGGGGUAAAGGGCGCGUAGGCGGCGUGUUAAGUCACUUGUGAAAAUCUCUAAGCUUAACUUAGAACGGUCAAGUGAUACUGAUGUGCUAGAGUGCAGAAGGGGCAACCGGAAUUCUUGGUGUAGCGGUGAAAUGCGUAGAUAUCAAGAGGAACACCUGAGGUGAAGACGGGUUGCUGGGCUGACACUGACGCUGAGGCGCGAAAGCUAGGGUAGCAAACGGGAUUAGAUACCCCGGUAGUCCUAGCCCUAAACGAUGAAUACUUGGUGUCUGGAGUUUUUAUUCUCCGGGUGCCGUCGCUAACGUUUUAAGUAUUCCGCCUGGGGAGUACGCACGCAAGUGUG